GACGAACGCUGGCGGCGUGCUUAACACAUGCAAGUCGAACGAAGUGGCGAACGGGUGAGUAACGCGUAAUCAACCUGCCCUUCAGAGGGGGCCAACAGUUGGAAACGACUGCUAAUACCGCAUACUUAAGGAGGGGAUUGCGUCUGAUUAGCUCGUUGGAGGGGUAACGGCCCACCAAGGCGAUGAUCAGUAGCCGGUCUGGGAGGAGGAACGGCCACAUUGGGAACGGGACACGGCCCAGACCCCUACGGGAGGGAGCAGGGGGGAAUCUUUCGCAAUGGACGAAAAGCUGACUGCGCCACGCCGGGGGAGUGAUGACGGCCUUCGGGUUGUAAAGCUCUGUUAAUCGGGACGCGGUACCGGAAUAGAAAGCCACGGCUAACUACGUGCCAGCAGCCGCGGUAAUUC
This 408-nucleotide ribosomal RNA is filed under the name uncultured bacterium. RNAcentral describes it as "partial 16S ribosomal RNA". It matches the Rfam family "Bacterial small subunit ribosomal RNA", at positions 28 to 526 of the family's 1533-position model. The record is from RNAcentral.